GUGCCAGCAGCCGCGGUAAUACCGGCAGCUCAAGUGAUGUCCCAUAUUAUUGGGCCUAAAGCGUCCGUAGCCGGCCAGACAAGUUUGUUGGGAAAUCCACGUGCUCAACACGUGGGCGUCCAGCGAAAACUGUCUGGCUUGGGGCCGGAAGACUCGAGGGGUACGUCCGGGGUAGGAGUGAAAUCCCGUAAUCCUGGACGGACCGCCGGUGGCGAAAGCGCCUCGAGAGGACGGACCCGACGGUGAGGGACGAAAGCCAGGGUCUCGAACCGGAUUAGAAACCCGUGUAGUCC
RNAcentral lists this ribosomal RNA (293 nucleotides) under uncultured bacterium. Its description in RNAcentral is "partial 16S ribosomal RNA". It matches the Rfam family "Archaeal small subunit ribosomal RNA", at positions 455 to 747 of the family's 1478-position model. The record is from RNAcentral.